AACGAACGCUGGCGGCAGGCCUAACACAUGCAAGUCGAGCGCGCCUUCGGGUGAGCGGCGGACGGGUGAGUAACGCGUGGGAAUAUGCCCUUCUCUACGGAAUAGUCCUGGGAAACUGGGGGUAAUACCGUAUACGCCCUUUGGGGGAAAGAUUUAUCGGGGAAGGAUUAGCCCGCGUUGGAUUAGGUAGUUGGUGGGGUAAUGGCCUACCAAGCCGACGAUCCAUAGCUGGUUUGAGAGGAUGAUCAGCCACACUGGGACUGAGACACGGCCCAGACUCCUACGGGAGGCAGCAGUGGGGAAUCUUAGACAAUGGGGGCAACCCUGAUCUAGCCAUGCCGCGUGAGUGAUGAAGGCCUUAGGGUUGUAAAGCUCUUUCAGCUGGGAAGAUAAUGACGGUACCAGCAGAAGAAGCCCCGGCUAACCCCGUG
Molecule: ribosomal RNA, 431 nt
Filed under: uncultured bacterium
Lineage: Bacteria
Description: partial 16S ribosomal RNA
Rfam family: Bacterial small subunit ribosomal RNA
Source: RNAcentral